Molecule: ribosomal RNA, 489 nt
Filed under: uncultured bacterium
Lineage: Bacteria
Description: partial 16S ribosomal RNA
Rfam family: Bacterial small subunit ribosomal RNA
Source: RNAcentral
UGGGGAAUAUUGGACAAUGGGCGGAAGCCUGAUCCAGCAACGCCGCGUGAGGGAUGACGGCCUUCGGGUUGUAAACCUCUUUCAGUACCGACGAAGCGAAAGUGACGGUAGGUACAGAAGAAGGACCGGCCAACUACGUGCCAGCAGCCGCGGUAAUACGUAGGGUCCGAGCGUUGUCCGGAAUUAUUGGGCGUAAAGGGCUCGUAGGCGGUUUGUCGCGUCGGGAGUGAAAACAGCGGGCUUAACUCGUUGCUUGCUUUCGAUACGGGCAGACUAGAGGUAUGCAGGGGAGAAUGGAAUUCCUGGUGUAGCGGUGAAAUGCGCAGAUAUCAGGAGGAACACCGGUGGCGAAGGCGGUUCUCUGGGCAUUACCUGACGCUGAGGAGCGAAAGUGUGGGGAGCGAACAGGAUUAGAUACCCCUGGUAGUCCACACCGUAAACGUUGGGGCGCUAGGUGUGGGGUCCUUUCCACGGAUUCCGUGCCGUAGC